AGAGUUUGAUCCUGGCUCNNAUUGAACGCUGGCGGCAUGCCUUACACAUGCAAGUCGAACGGUAGAGGGGCAACCCUUGAGAGUGGCGAACGGGUGAGUAAUAUAUCGGAACGUGCCCAGUCGUGGGGGAUAACGCAGCGAAAGCUGCGCUAAUACCGCAUACGAUCUAAGGAUGAAAGCGGGGGAUCGCAAGACCUCGCGCGAUUGGAGCGGCCGAUAUCAGAUUAGGUAGUUGGUGGGGUAAAAGCCCACCAAGCCGACGAUCUGUAGCUGGUCUGAGAGGACGACCAGCCACACUGGGACUGAGACACGGCCCAGACUCCUACGGGAGGCAGCAGUGGGGAAUUUUGGACAAUGGGCGCAAGCCUGAUCCAGCAAUGCCGCGUGCAGGACGAAGGCCUUCGGGUUGUAAACUGCUUUUGUACGGAGCGAAACGGUCUGGGUUAAUACCCUGGGCUAAUGACGGUACCGUAAGAAUAAGCACCGGCUAACUACGUGCCAGCAGCCGCGGUAAUAC
Molecule: ribosomal RNA, 517 nt
Filed under: uncultured soil bacterium
Lineage: Bacteria
Description: bacterial SSU rRNA
Rfam family: Bacterial small subunit ribosomal RNA
Source: RNAcentral